GAUGAACGCUGGCGGCGUGCCUAAUACAUGCCAGUCGAGCGAACAGACGAGGAGCUUGCUCCUCUGACGUUAGCGGCGGACGGGUGAGUAACACGUGGAUAACCUACCUAUAAGACUGGGAUAACUUCGGGAAACCGGAGCUAAUACCGGAUAAUAUAUUGAACCGCAUGGUUCAAUAGUGAAAGACGGUUUUGCUGUCACUUAUAGAUGGAUCCGCGCCGCAUUAGCUAGUUGGUAAGGUAACGGCUUACCAAGGCAACGAUGCGUAGCCGACCUGAGAGGGUGAUCGGCCACACUGGAACUGAGACACGGUCCAGACUCCUACGGGAGGCAUCAGUAGGGAAUCUUCCGCAAUGGGCGAAAGCCUGACGGAGCAACGCCGCGUGAGUGAUGAAGGUCUUCGGAUCGUAAAACUCUGUUAUUAGGGAAGAACAAAUGUGUAAGUAACUAUGCACGUCUUGACGGUACCUAAUCAGAAAGCCACGGCUAACUACGUG
This 497-nucleotide ribosomal RNA is filed under the name uncultured bacterium. Its description in RNAcentral is "partial 16S ribosomal RNA". It matches the Rfam family "Bacterial small subunit ribosomal RNA", at positions 28 to 507 of the family's 1533-position model. The record is from RNAcentral.